Molecule: transfer RNA, 64 nt
Filed under: Dolophilodes bellatulus
Lineage: Eukaryota; Metazoa; Arthropoda; Insecta; Trichoptera; Philopotamidae
Description: tRNA-Glu
Source: RNAcentral
AUUUAUAUAGUUUAUUUAAAACAUUACAUUUUCACUGUAAAAAUUAUACUAUUAUAUAUAAAUA